CUGAGUACGGCGGAACACGUGAAAUUCCGUCGGAAUCCGGGAGGACCAUCUCCCAAGGCUAAAUACUCCCUAGUGACCGAUAGUGAACCAGUACCGUGAGGGAAAGGUGAAAAGCACCCCGGAAGGGGAGUGAAACAGUUCCUGAAACCGUGUGCCUACAAGUAGUUAGAGCCCGUUAAUGGGUGAUAGCGUGCCUUUUGUAGAAUGAACCGGCGAGUUACGAUUUGUUGCAAGGUUAAGCGGAAAAAGCGGAGCCGUAGCGAAAGCGAGUCUGAAUAGGGCGCAUAAGUAACAGGUCGUAGACCCGAAACCAGGUGAUCUACCCAUGUCCAGGAUGAAGGUAAGGUAAUACUUACUGGAGGUCCGAACCCACGCACGUUGAAAAGUGCGGGGAUGAGGUGUGGGUAGCGGAGAAAUUCCAAUCGAACUUGGAGAUAGCUGGUUCUCUCCGAAAUAGCUUUAGGGCUAGCCUCGAGGUAAAGAGUCAUGGAGGUAGAGCACUGUU
RNAcentral lists this ribosomal RNA (505 nucleotides) under Listeria monocytogenes. Its description in RNAcentral is "partial 23S ribosomal RNA". It matches the Rfam family "Bacterial large subunit ribosomal RNA", at positions 408 to 914 of the family's 2925-position model. The record is from RNAcentral. Lineage: Bacteria; Bacillati; Bacillota; Bacilli; Caryophanales; Listeriaceae.